This 253-nucleotide ribosomal RNA is filed under the name uncultured bacterium. Its description in RNAcentral is "partial 16S ribosomal RNA". It matches the Rfam family "Bacterial small subunit ribosomal RNA", at positions 524 to 776 of the family's 1533-position model. The record is from RNAcentral.
UACGUAGGGAGCGAGCGUUGUCCGGAUUCAUUGGGCGUAAAGAGCUCGUAGGCGGUUUGUCGCGUCGAAUGUGAAAACCCGGGGCUCAACCCCGGGCCUGCAUUCGAUACGGGCAGACUAGAGUUCGGUAGGGGAGUCUGGAAUUCCUGGUGUAGCGGUGAAAUGCGCAGAUAUCAGGAGGAACACCUAUAGCGAAGGCAGCUUGCUGGGACGUUACUGACGCUAAGGCGCGAAAGCGUGGGGAGCGAACAGG